This is a long non-coding RNA of Mytilus trossulus (common blue mussel), 400 nucleotides long. RefSeq lists it as uncharacterized. The record is from RefSeq and is a predicted model, not a curated record. NCBI's taxonomy places the organism in Eukaryota, Metazoa, Mollusca, Bivalvia, Mytilida, Mytilidae. The transcript has 4 exons.
UUUAAGUAGCUAGUUCAUCUAAACAGUUAUCUUAUUAUCACUAGGCCUGCUACUACGCAUUGUGUAUUACAGUGUCAUGAUGAAAUUUUGUUAUUUGAUUGUAAUCCUCCUCUGCACAAUUCCUGUUUCUCAUGGCGAAAGACUCACUAGAAAUUGUCUGGCUAAAAAUGGAACCUGUGGGAGAAAAGGCGCACCUUGUGAUAAUGCGUUUGGUGAAGGAUGGAAAGAUAUAGGAAAGUGUUGUCAUGGCAAACCAUGUUGUAAAUAUUUAUGUAGAAGUACAAGCUACAGCUGUGGAUUUGAGCAAGUUUCUGAAUUAUGUGUUUUUAAGAAUUCAGCCAAUGAUCAAUUUGAUUGGACACGAAAUUCUGUAAGUUUUUUCAAAUUACUGGUCUGCAAU